GGGUGCGUAACACGUGAGCGACCUACCGACGAGAGGGGGAGUAGCCGGCCCAACGGCCGGGUAAUACCGCAUACGCUCAUCGAGCUGCCUGGCUCGAUGAGGAAACCUUUCGGGCUCGUUGUGGGGCUCGCGGCCUAUCAGCUAGUUGGCGGGGUAACGGCCCACCAAGGCGACGACGGGUAGCUGGUCUGAGAGGAUGGCCAGCCACAUUGGGACUGAGAGACGGCCCAG
RNAcentral lists this ribosomal RNA (231 nucleotides) under uncultured bacterium. RNAcentral describes it as "partial 16S ribosomal RNA". It matches the Rfam family "Bacterial small subunit ribosomal RNA", at positions 104 to 334 of the family's 1533-position model. The record is from RNAcentral.